CUAACCACUCCCUACAAGUCAAGCAUUAGAGUCACUAUAAUAAAAAUAGGCAUUAGUGGCAGUUUUUUAACUAGCAAAUGGAUGACUAUUGGUAGAAAUUUUAAGUCUUUGGCGGUGCCGCUUAAACCCCGCAAAACCCAGAUUUUCCCUCUCCUGCUCUUUUAUUUUCUCACCCUUUCGUAUUCCCACUCUCUCUCUCUCUCUCUCUCUCUCUCUCUCGACCAGUUUUUCACCUCUUAUUCUCAAUCUCUCUCUCUCAACCAUUUCUGAUUUCUCAUCAGCAACAGAAUCUCUCUCUGAAGCUCUAGUGCAGUAACAAGUGGGAGACCACGUUAGAUCUUAAGUUUGAGUUCAUUUUCCAAUGCAACAAACUUCUCGUAAUCACGCCACAAUCUUAUUGAUUCAAUGAAGGCCCUCUCUCUCUCUCCAACAAUCUUCAUUGGAUUUUCUUUUUUUUCUGAAACAACCUCCUCGUCUCAGGUUCUCACAUCUCACAUCCUUAUUCAUUCAUUAGCGACAAAAGGUCUGAGGUUUUCUUGAAGACAAAAAUUCCAUGAAGUCAAAACCAAAGUGGGCUUUCUAUGAUUUGAUGAUGUGAGAGAAGCAAUGUGGUAUCUUGCUGGUGGAAUAGCAUAGAUGCAGCAAGGACGACUCUAUUACCACCAUGAAGAAGGAUUAGAGACCUAGAUUUGUUUGUCUCUCUCUUUAAGGGAAUUUAUAUUAUUUAUGUUGAGAAGCUAUACAGAGGUGGAAAUCUAGUGGAUGUUGCAAGAUUACUACAUCAUCUACGUAAUAAGUAGUAAUUCUUGAGUGCAAAUUCAUAUAAUGCCCUCUUGAUGGCCACUAGUGAAGGGAAUGAUUUUGAGCUUCUAUUUCAAAUAUUGAAGGAUUUCUUGCUCUCAUGUCAAACUGUGAGUUCAAUUUCAUAUUUUAAUCUUGCCAAGGGCCUUUCAAAGGCAACCGAUUUUGUGCUUUUACUUAAUUUCAUAAGAGAAGUAUCAGAAGUAGCAUUUCCAAGAAGUGCAAUGAUCAUCCACAAGAUCAUUUAUGGCUUUGAUGAAGACAAGCAUAACUUUUCUCUCAUAUCCCAAGAGGAGAAGUUCUCUCUCAUAUCCAAACAAGAUUUUGAGAGAAGUUGAAAAGAAGUUUUUGUAAAUGAAGUCUUUUGAAUGGAACUGGAUAUUUUUAAGAACAAAUGGAUGUAAUUUAUAUUUUUAAGAAUGAAUGAAUGAAUGGGGAAUAAUUAUUUUA
Nelumbo nucifera (sacred lotus) is the source of this 1251-nucleotide long non-coding RNA. RefSeq lists it as uncharacterized. The record is from RefSeq and is a predicted model, not a curated record. Lineage: Eukaryota; Viridiplantae; Streptophyta; Magnoliopsida; Proteales; Nelumbonaceae.